UUAUAUAAAUAAUAUGUAUCAUCAUCGCCAAAGAAAUGAUAUGCUUAUACGAAAUAAUUCUAACGCUUUUAAUGUGUCUGGGAAUUUUUAUCCAUAUGUAAACAAUACAUUUUAUAACUCUCCAUCUUCAACUUGUUUUAAGCCUAAUUCUACUACUAACAUAAUGAACAAUAGUUCUCCUUUAAAUAAUAAAAAUGCACUAAAUGGUACAUUACCAUCAUCAUCCUUGCCAUAUGACAAUAUUACACCAAGAAAUAACAAUGACAGUAAUAAUAUCAAUGGUAAUAAUAAUACCGUUGUCUCUAACUCUAACACUAUUAAUAAUACUAACAAUACUUAUAAUCUUUCUAACAAGUUGAAUACAAUAAAUUAUGGAGAUAAUACAAAUAAUAAGGCAAGGAAUAUAUUAAAUAAUGGUCAUGUGGGUAUAGAACAGACAAAUAAAAUGAAACCUAUACCUAAUAAUAUCAUAACUAAUAAUAUAAAUAUGAAUAAUCGAAAUUUAGAAAACAUUACAAAUGGUUCUAUUACUGCUAAUGUAAUGAAUAGUAAUAACUCACAUAUGAACCCACACAUAUAUCCACAAAUAAACCAUCUGCAUAAUAACAACAUGAAUGAUACUAACAGCUCUAGUAACAAUAGAAAUAUUAAAAACUUGAAUAUUAAUAGUUUCGGUGCGAGUAAUAAUAUGAACAACCUAGGUAAUAAUAAUAGUGGUAGUAAUAAUAAUGCUAACGCUAUUGCUAAUGUUAAUAAAACAAUGAACACAAACAAUUGGGGUAUUGUGGGUAAUUUAAAUAAUAAUAACACGCUGCCAAACAAUAAUGCGAAUUUUAAACUAAUGGGCAAUAAUAAUAAUUCCCCAUGUAACAAUAAUACAAAUCUUACUAAUUCUACCUAUCGGACAAAUAAUCAUAUGGAAACACAAAACAGCAUGGGUAGUGAUGUGAAUACUAUGGGAUAUAAUUCGAUGCAUAUAUAUAACAAAAUGGGCUAUCCUAAUUACAAUGAUUAUGCUUAUGACCAUGUACAUAUGCAAAAUCAUUACACAGGUUUAAAAGACGAAGCGAAUGCUACGACUACUAGUAGCGGUACCAACGCAAUGACAGUGCAUAAGGAAAAACUUGGCACAAGAGAAGAAAUUAUGACAGAAAAUGAACUANNNNNNNNNNNNNNNNNNNNNNNNNNNNNNNNNNNNNNNNNNNNNNNNNNNNNNNNNNNNNNNNNNNNNNNNNNNNNNNNNNNNNNNNNNNNNNNNNNNNAUGGACCGGAUAAUACUAUUAAUAGAAUGACAAUAAAUAAUGAUACCUCUUCUUAUACAAAAUCUAAAGAUCAUGGCUCUCUUACCAUGGAAUCAAAUAACAUAAAAAUCGACAAUAGUAACAAAAACGAAAUGAAUGAUAAAACUGUUGCUUUGAAUAGUAAUGACGUUGUAAAUGGUGUUGACAUGACUACUGCGAAUAAUAAUAGUAGCAACAAUAACGACAGUAAUAGCAACACGGCAUAUUCUUUAUUUCCUAAUUAUAAUUUAAAAUAUCAGUUAAAUGGUGACUUGUUUAAAAAUAUGAAUACUUAUAAUACCGUACAUAGCAAGAACAACAACAUAAAUAAUAAUUAUCAAAAUGUUAACAUGAGGAACAGUGAUAUAACGAAUACAUACAAUAACAAUAUGAACAAUUUUCCUAACAUGGUUAAUUAUAAUAUGAUUAAUAUGUAUGGUGAUGGUAGAUACAAUAAUCGUAAUAAUAAUACUAUGAACUCGAUGGAUAUGAUAAAAGCGUAUAACGAAUCUUUCAUGUAUAAUAAUAGUAACAAUAAUAUGAACAGUAAUAAAAAUAGUAACAUGAACAGUAAUAACUUGUUGCAUAUUGGUGGCGGUAGUGGUAAGGGUAACCUGGAUAAUAUGAUAAACUUAAAUAACAUGAACAAUUAUAAUAUAAAUUAUAUGAACAACAAUCUUAGUUACCCAAAUGAUAUGAAUAUGAGGAUGUUAGAUAAUAGAAAUUAUAUGAAUUGUAUGUAUAACAACAUGGGAUAUAACAUGGGAUAUCACCAAACCAUGGGUAACAACAUGAACCCCAACAACAUAAGUUUUAAUAACAACAUGAACAAUUACCACCAUAUGAAUAACAUGAACAAUAUAAACAAUUUUGGAAGUAUGAACAACAUAAACAACGAUAAUGAUAACAAUAACAAUAACAAUAACAA
Molecule: long non-coding RNA, 2208 nt
Organism: Piliocolobus tephrosceles (Ugandan red Colobus)
Lineage: Eukaryota; Metazoa; Chordata; Mammalia; Primates; Cercopithecidae
Source: Ensembl